This 593-nucleotide ribosomal RNA is filed under the name uncultured Burkholderia sp. RNAcentral's name for it is "bacterial SSU rRNA". It matches the Rfam family "Bacterial small subunit ribosomal RNA", at positions 418 to 1003 of the family's 1533-position model. The record is from RNAcentral. Lineage: Bacteria; Pseudomonadati; Pseudomonadota; Betaproteobacteria; Burkholderiales; Burkholderiaceae.
UCGGGUUGUAAAGCACUUUUGUCCGGAAAGAAAACCUCGUGGUUAAUACCCGUGGGGGAUGACGGUACCGGAAGAAUAAGCACCGGCUAACUACGUGCCAGCAGCCGCGGUAAUACGUAGGGUGCAAGCGUUAAUCGGAAUUACUGGGCGUAAAGCGUGCGCAGGCGGUUCGCUAAGACAGAUGUGAAAUCCCCCGGGCUUAACCUGGAACUGCAUUUGUGACUGGCGGGCUAGAGUAUGGCAGAGGGGGGUAGAAUUCCACGUGUAGCAGUGAAAUGCGUAGAGAUGUGGAGGAAUACCCGAUGGCGAAGGCAGCCCCCUGGGCCAAUACUGACGCUCAUGCACGAAAGCGUGGGGAGCAAACAGGAUUAGAUACCCUGGUAGUCCACGCCCUAAACGAUGUCAACUAGUUGUCGGGUCUUCAUUGACUUGGUAACGAAGCUAACGCGUGAAGUUGACCGCCUGGGGAGUACGGUCGCAAGAUUAAAACUCAAAGGAAUUGACGGGGACCCGCACAAGCGGUGGAUGAUGUGGAUUAAUUCGAUGCAACGCGAAAAACCUUACCUACCCUUGACAUGUAUGGAAUCCUGCUG